Molecule: ribosomal RNA, 565 nt
Filed under: Mithrax tortugae
Lineage: Eukaryota; Metazoa; Arthropoda; Malacostraca; Decapoda; Mithracidae
Description: partial 16S ribosomal RNA
Rfam family: Bacterial large subunit ribosomal RNA
Source: RNAcentral
UAUCAAAAACAUGUCUACAUAAAAGUUAUAUGUAGUCCGGCCUGCUCACUGAGAUAGAGACUUUAAGAGCCGCGGUAUUUUGACCGUGCAAAGGUAGCAUAAUCAUUAGUUUUUUAAUUGAAAACUCGUAUGAAUGGUUAGACAAAAGAGAUACUGUCUCUAGCUUUAAAAUUUGAAUUUAACUUUUAAGUGAAAAGGCUUAAAUUUUUCAAGGGGACGAUAAGACCCUAUAAAGCUUUAUAAAUAACUAGAUAUUUUUUAGAUUAUAAAAUAAAAAGAAAUUCUCAGAGGUUUAUUAUGUUGGGGCGACACGGAUAUAAAUAAAAGCAACUAUCAGAAAAGAAAACAAAAAUUUUUGAAUUUUAUGAUCCUAAUUAAAGAUUAUAAGACUAAGUUACUUUAGGGAUAACAGCGUUAUUCUUUUUGAGAGUUCAUAUCGAAAAAAGAGUUUGCGACCUCGAUGUUGAAUCAAAAAAUCUUUAUAGUGCAGCAGCUAUAAAAGAAGGCCUGUUCGACCUUUAAAAUUUUACGUGAUUUGAGUUCAAACCGGUGUAAGCCAGGUUGG